Daphnia magna is the source of this 1959-nucleotide long non-coding RNA. RefSeq lists it as uncharacterized. The transcript is spliced from 5 exons. The record is from RefSeq and is a predicted model, not a curated record. NCBI's taxonomy places the organism in Eukaryota, Metazoa, Arthropoda, Branchiopoda, Diplostraca, Daphniidae.
UCAACUUUUAUUCCGGGUAACCAGAAUGCGGAAGGUGUCAACGUGUAUAUAAGGCGGUAGCCAACACUUCAUUUCACAGUCGUGCUGGGGUCUUCCACUGCAUCUGUACUGUUGCUUCAACACUAUCUCAGGACGCAUCGCUUUCUUGCUUGUUAAUUACCAACGUAUACCCGAGGAUAAAAUGGGUAGUGAAUUCUAAGGAGCGUCGAUCUACCAAUAACAUGUCCCUGCCAAGUCAAAGACAAUCGAUUCCGCAAAAGCGUAUCUGGUCAAAAUGCGAGUUCGGGCGCCACGGUGAGCUUAGUGUUCAUUUACUAUAAGACGCCCUCGGCUGCAAAACGGCCUUCACACUAGAGAAAAAAAAUAAUCACCAUCCACCAACGCCAUCUAGCGGCCACGAUACGCACCUUUUUGAAAUCCCACCCACUGGAGGAGUGGCUGAAUCACUAUCGAUCACUACGACCAUUUCUAACAAUUAAUAUCGAUUUUAUCGUGCCAGUUCAGAUACAGGUGAAUGUCUCAGUGAUAAUACAUUUGUUUUUGUUUUCUAAACGUUUAUCAAUAACUGGUUUUCAAUACUGUUUAUCUCGCUUGUUGCAAUAACAUACCAGUUUAUCUCGCCGUUGAAAUGGACGACGCUGUCUGGAGUGUUUGUUGCGUUGUAAGUCAUGUUUCUCUUUUGUAUUGUUUUUGUUUUUGUAUGCGCACACGUGCAUUUAACGUAUAAAACCUAAUGUUAUGAUUAUGCCUUUGAUGUCCGAUGAUUGUACUCAUGUAUAUUUUUGUGUCAUUUAGAAUCUAGUCGAUUAAAACCACAAUAAGUGUCCUCAGUGUCGCAUAUUCACUCCGGUUAGUGCCGGGCAAAUCUCUGUGAAUGAGGAUCUCCAAACCGAUCACGAUUUGAUGGCCCUACUUUUCCAAACAAAAAAAAAAUUAUUAUCACAGAGACAUUCACCUGUAUCUGCCACUGGCACGAUAAAAUCGAUAUUAAUUGUUGGAAAUGGUUAUAGGAAUCGAUAGUGAUUCAGCUCCUCCGCCAGUGGGUGGGAUUUCAAAAAAGGUGCAUGCCGUGGCCGCUAGAUGGCGAUGGUGGAUGGUGAUAAUUUUCUGCGAAAUAAAAUUAAAUGGCCCUAGCCGAUGGGCUGAAAUUUUAGGGGGUAAUUUGGCGUUCCGUAGGGAUGAUGGUUAAGGACCCCGUCUAAAGAUUUAUGGAUAUGAGUAUGUUGGUUCAAGUCUAUCUUUUGUCAUGUUAUCAAUGUGAGUAAAAUUUUAGAAAUUUUUUAUUUGAUCUCGAAGUGAAAAUGUUUAAUCCGUCUAUAGAUUUUUUGCCUAAAUGAUUAAUUCAAUUAACUACAAGAACAAGAAGAAAAUUUUUCAUUAACAUGAUAAUAAAACUUAUAUUUUUUUAACAUACUACUUUUUUCUUUUUAACAACUCAAUUGCCAUAUUGCUGUCAAACUAGCACACUUUUCAUUUCAAAAACUUGAUUUCCUUUUGUUUUAUCUUUAUCCUUGUGUUUAUGUAACUAUAACAAGUGUUAAAGUUUUUUGGGGGUGUUUUUCAAAGAGGCUAUAUUUGCGAGCGCCAGAUGGUGUCGUCGUAACCCUUGUUUAUCUAGGGAACGCCUACCCGGCAUAGGAGGUAUUUGAGUUUACAGGCCUUAAGCAUUAAGUAGGCCUUGGUCGUUGGUCGAUUUCGAUCGCCAUUGUACAGUUAAUGGCGUCGCGCAUUGGAAGUAUAUGCGUGUGUGAAUUUCGAUGAGCGUUGUACACCUUGGAGGCCUCGUUGACUCGCCAGUUGAAGAUACGUGUGCACAGUGUUAGUGCUUGGGUGCCUCGAGAGGAAAUUGCAGAACAUAGCCAUACAGUAUGGUGUCCUUCAACAAUGUCCAACCAUGGAAUGAGUCCCAUGUGACUGAGACAAACAACUGAUGCUUUUGCAUUUUGAAUGUCUAAAUUU